RNAcentral lists this ribosomal RNA (498 nucleotides) under uncultured bacterium. Its description in RNAcentral is "partial 16S ribosomal RNA". It matches the Rfam family "Bacterial small subunit ribosomal RNA", at positions 30 to 523 of the family's 1533-position model. The record is from RNAcentral.
AUUGAACGCUGGCGGCAUGCCUUACACAUGCAAGUCGAACGGUAACAGGUCUUCGGAUGCUGACGAGUGGCGAACGGGUGAGUAAUACAUCGGAAUGUACCCAGUAAUGGGGGAUAACGCUUCGAAAGGAGUGCUAAUACCGCAUACGCCCUGAGGGGGAAAGUGGGGGACCGCAAGGCCUCACGUUAUAGGAGCAGCCGAUGGCUGAUUAGCUAGUUGGUGAGGUAAAGGCUCACCAAGGCGACGAUCAGUAGCGGGUCUUAGAGGACGAUCCGCCACACUGGAACUGAGACACGGUCCAGACUCAUACGGGGGGCAGCAGUGGGGAAUCUUGGACAAUGGGCGAAAGCCUGAUCCAGCAAUGCCGCGUGCGUGAAGAAGGCCUUCGGGUUGUAAAGCGCUUUUGUCUGGGAGCAAAUCCUGGCCUCUAAUACAGGUCGGGGAUGAGAGUACCAGAAGAAUAAGGACCGGCUAACUACGUGCCAGCCGCCGCCGUAA